This is a long non-coding RNA of Lactuca sativa (garden lettuce), 1083 nucleotides long. RefSeq lists it as uncharacterized. Lineage: Eukaryota; Viridiplantae; Streptophyta; Magnoliopsida; Asterales; Asteraceae. The record is from RefSeq and is a predicted model, not a curated record.
UCUAAUGUCAUUUUUAUCGUUACAUUUUUUUUCACAACAUGAUUACAUUUUGGACUUGAAUUGUAAGGAUUUUCAGAAGGAGGGGUUAAUGGUAAUUUACAGAUCUUAAUUGAGAAUAAUUUAUAGAGAAAGGGGUUGUUUUGUAAAUGUUGGACUUGUAAUGAAAAGGAUUAUUGAAAUCAAAGGUGUAAAGGGUAAAUUAGGGUUUUGUUUUGAAAGAAAAGAAAGAGAGGGAUUACAUGUGUUAAUAUGGGAACUAGUUUAAGGAUCCGGGUAUAACCGUUUCCUUCCCGUCCACACCCUAAUUAACCCUAAACCUAAUGAGGCAUUCAGCCGCCACCAUUGCUCUCUCAACUUCGGGUGCCGCUACCUUCCUCCACCGAGUCGCGCAUCACCACAGUUGGAGCCCCAAACCACCGGAGCAACCACCUCGUGUCCAUCCUAGCACCGGGGAAUGAAGUUGGGUGCGUGUUGUCGUCGUUCGCUUGGAAGACCGCCAUUCAAGCAUUCAUUCGCAACCUGGCGACCAUCCAGCCGUCUGCCGGGGACAAGAAACUAUCGUGGGUCGUAAACCACCGAGGCUGCUGCCCCUGUUGCGCUGGAACGGUGGGAAAUGCAUUCGCUGCCGCCGCCAUCCGUUCGUUGGCGACUAAUGGCCAACCCUAGUCGUCGCAGAUGUUAUCGCCUCUAGACGCCUCAGUUGCUGCUAGUAUUGUUUCGCAGUUGCAUUCGCUGCCCCAACACCACCAUCAACAACACCUGCGGGUAAAUGAGUUGCGACAAUAAAUGUCAAACAUGGAACAAGCCAUGGAAGAAAAGCAAAGGGAAAUGAAUUUGCCAAUGCAACAAAUACGAAAUGAAAUGGAAUUGCAAGUGCAACGACAAUUAGCGGUCUUUAUGAAACAAAUCAAUCCGUCCGGGAAUCCACCAAGUAGUUCUUAGUUUUUGUUUUAGAACACUAAAUUUAUGUUAUGUUAUUGACUAGUUCUUAGUUUUUGUAAUGGUAUUUUGAGUAUUUGAAUUUAUGAAUGUCAUGUUAGUGACUAUUUUAAUGGUAAUGAAUGUAACGGUAUUUGACUAUUA